Molecule: ribosomal RNA, 194 nt
Filed under: uncultured bacterium
Lineage: Bacteria
Description: partial 16S ribosomal RNA
Rfam family: Bacterial small subunit ribosomal RNA
Source: RNAcentral
CCUACGGGAGGCAGCAGGGGGGAAUAUUGGGCAAUGGGCGAAAGCCUGAUCCAGCCAUGCCGCGUGUGUGAAGAAGGUCUUCGGAUUGUAAAGCACUUUAAGUUGGGAGGAAGGGCAUUAACCUAAUACGUUAGUGUUUUGACGUUACCGACAGAAUAAGCACCGGCUAACUCUGUGCCAGCAGCCGCGGUAAU